UUUAACAUCUGUCGUCCAUGAUCACUAGUAUGAAUUAUGAUGAUCCAUAGCUAUCAGCUGCCAGCUGCGUACCACUUCUACUCAUCGAUCGGGCACGUACGACUGAUUUUUAGCAUAUAUAAAGCGUGUGUGUACAGUACUGUAUGGCUGUAUUAUGCAUGCACAAGCAAAAAGGUUAAUUUGCUUGAUUAUAUUGAUGAGCUUGCAGUUAACUUAAUUAAUAUAGUUUGGCUUGGUUAAGUUUCUUGUGUGACGCGUGGAGAACGAACACACACACACACACAUAUAUCAGCAUGCAUUAUUGUGUGCUGUGUGUACGUGUUCAUGUACGGCCGGACUAGUCCGGAUUAAAUUAAUGGCCGGGGCAUUAUU
This 372-nucleotide small RNA is filed under the name Oryza sativa Japonica Group (Japanese rice). Its description in RNAcentral is "Os03g0346150". Lineage: Eukaryota; Viridiplantae; Streptophyta; Magnoliopsida; Poales; Poaceae. The record is from RNAcentral.